GCUUUCGUGGUGUAGUGGUUCAGCACGCUGGGCCGGGAUUCCAGAAGUUCGCGGUUCGAUUCCCGGCGAAGGCA
This is a non-coding RNA of Stegodyphus dumicola, 74 nucleotides long. The record is from the annotation of a RefSeq genome assembly. NCBI's taxonomy places the organism in Eukaryota, Metazoa, Arthropoda, Arachnida, Araneae, Eresidae.